UGUAAGAUAAGUUGUGUGAAUGUGUCCAAUAUGUUUACCAUGCUUGAGACUCUGUCUGAACCUGUUUAGCGUUUGUUCAUUGGCUGAAUUAUUAGUGCGUAAGUAGCAAGCUAAGGAACUACUGUAAUUUACUAAUUUGAAUAUUUGCAGAUUGCUACUUCUUUGUCCUCUGAUCAAUUUUUGAAUGUCCAGUGUCCACUGAUGGAGGCUGGCUGGAUAUAGAUGCCAUUGCUUUUUAUUUUAACAUAGUUAAAUGAUCAGUAAUCACUAAUGGAGGCUGGAUGACUGAAUGUUUAAAUAUUAUUUUGAUAUUAUUGUACUUCAAUCUCUUGAAUCUGUGAAUUGUAAUUAUGUUUAGUAUUCUAAUAUUUUGCCAGUAAAUUUGCAAGUGAUUGUCAAUUGUGCCUGUGUAUAGAUUUUGGAAUAUAUUAUAUUGACUUUGGCAGGUAGGGAGGAAAGCCUAAAUCCUACUGCAUAUAUCAAAUAUUUGCAAAAAUUAUAUAUUUUUUUAAACGAGUUCGG
RNAcentral lists this long non-coding RNA (522 nucleotides) under Daucus carota (carrot). RNAcentral's name for it is "long non-coding RNA (DCAR_LNC003797)". The record is from RNAcentral. Lineage: Eukaryota; Viridiplantae; Streptophyta; Magnoliopsida; Apiales; Apiaceae.